Sinocyclocheilus rhinocerous is the source of this 192-nucleotide long non-coding RNA. RefSeq lists it as uncharacterized. The record is from RefSeq and is a predicted model, not a curated record. The transcript has 3 exons. Lineage: Eukaryota; Metazoa; Chordata; Actinopteri; Cypriniformes; Cyprinidae.
AAAAACGUUGGGUUAUUUACUAUUGCUCUGGACUAAGGUAUAUUAUACCCACAUGUCAGGGAUGGAUAGACUUUGAGCUCUAAAGGGCAUGGGUCUCAACAGAUAAUCGCAUAUUGCAAGACAAAGAAGAGAGCCUAGGAUCUUACAGAUAUUUCUUCUGAAGACAGAAACUCAUACCGGUUUGGAGCAACU